Long non-coding RNA from Centruroides sculpturatus (bark scorpion), 418 nucleotides. RefSeq lists it as uncharacterized. The record is from RefSeq and is a predicted model, not a curated record. The transcript has 3 exons. Lineage: Eukaryota; Metazoa; Arthropoda; Arachnida; Scorpiones; Buthidae.
AAAAAUUGAUGGCCAAAUAGAUAAAGCAGUUAAGCUGUCAACUUACUGCUUGAGAGUCUGGGAUUGAAUUUGGACAAGCCAUCCCAUGUCAGGCCUUGUCCCUCACCAUUCAGUUGCCUGCAUUGUGGACUUGGCUGAACCCAUUUUGGCUAUUUAAAAAGUUUCUCUUUGUGCCCACAGGAUUUUCAACAAUAAGGCUGAGAUUAACAAUAACUGAUUUUUUUCAAAAUAAAAGCACAGUAAAUCCCCAGUUAACUGAGCUGCUGUAUGAUCGAGUACUUUUAAUCUCCACUGUAUUGAACAAGUCGCUGAUGCUGAAAUGACUGCAGAACAUUGAGGCAAAGAAAGGAGAAACUAUGAUAAAACAAAAUAUUUUAGAGGACUUUUUGUGGAAAUUUCAAAAUGAUAACAUCAUUCA